CUCUAUCUGUAACUCAGAGUCAUUUGGGAGGAUUCCUUGUUUCCUAUGCAAGAGUUGCCGGCACCUGCAGGAGCACCUAGUGGACUCAUGUGAGUGGCCUGCUGGCCUCUGAGGAGGAGACAAGCUGUGGUCUCGAGGGAACGAGCUGUGGUCUUGAAGGUCGAGAGGGACUUGACCUGCUCAGGUAAGAGUGAGGUAAGCUCAGGACUGAAGCAAAGCUGAGACCCUCUGGAGCUGGCGGUCCCCAUGCUCUUGGAGAGUGAGUGAGCUUUGGCCGGGCAGGUGUGCAGACUGCCCAGGCCCCCACUGUGAUGAUGGCUCUGUGAGGAGCAGAAAGAGCUCCUCUCUCACCUGCCCUCUGAGCACCUGUCUGCUGAGUCCAGACUCUGUGGGGCACCCAGAAAGAGCCUGGGAGGGGACGUCACCAGUUUCCCUUAGCUUCCCUUAUCUCAGCACUUAAGACUUAAGGGCAGUUCUCCUGGCCUAUAGUUUACAAGAUUUCUUUAAUGAGUAUUUUUUAUAUUAACAGCAUUGCCAAAAAUGCCUCAACCUCUUCUCUUUAAUGUAAUAUUUAUAUUUAGUAAAGGCAGUCUAGUUUGUUUUUAUAAUACAUUUGUGUAUUUAAAAUAAUUAAAUUGGGGAGUUUUAAUUCAACGAGUACAGAAUUUCAUUGUGGGAAGGUGUAAGAGGCUUGGAGAUGGACGGCAGUGAUGGUUGUACAAUGUGAAGGUACUUAAUGCCACUGAACUGCUCACUUAAAAAUGACUAAGUUGCUAAAUUUCAUGUUAUGGAUAUUUUAUCAUAAUGGUUAAAAGAAAAGAUUUAAAUAAGGGCAUUGAGUCAGACCUAGACAUAAAUGUUUGCUCCAUUAAUUAAAUUGCUUAUACUUUCUUUUUUUUUUUGAGAUGGAGUCUAGCUCUGUUGCCCAGGUUGGAGUGCAGUGGCGCGAUCUCGGCUCGCUGCCACCUCAGCCUUCCAGGUUCAAGUGAUUCUCCCGCCUCAGCCUCCUGAGUAACUGGAAUUACAGGCGCCUGCCACCAUGCCCAGCUAAUUUUGUAUUUUUAGUAGAGAUGGGGCUUCACCAUGUGGGUCAGGCUGGUCUCGAACUCCGGAUCUAAUGGUAACAACUAGGGGGAACUUAAGGCUAGUUUGUUCAGAGUCUUCUUGGUGUUGGUGUCCCUCUGUGACAUUCCUUCCUGUCUUCAGGAGACGAGCGAGGGAGAAGGAGAAGGUCAGAGUGACCUUCCUAGGUCUCAUGACGUGCUUCACGAAGAAGGGAAUGGGAAAGGGAGAGUGGCCUUUCUGCUUCUGUUUUCUCAAGCGCCGAGAUGCCAUAUUUUGGUGUAGCAUGUUCUGAACCCUGUCACUGUCUAAAGUCAGACUCUCCAUCUGGGCCCUGGAUCCCAUCUCUUGCUUACUCAAGGACAUCAGUCCAGCAUCCAAGGAGCCUCUUUUCCUACAUCAUCAAAUCUUCCUGCCUUACUGGAUAAUUCAUAUAAGCAAGCAGACGUGCUGUUAUUUCUUCUGGCAAGAGAGAAAAAAAAACCUCUCUGGACUGCAAUUUUCAUUCUAUCUAUGGUUCUACUUUGCUGUCUUUUGCAAGAAAAUCUCUCAGAAAUGCUGUCCACAUUUGCUCUUUCCAAUUCUUGUCCUCUCAUUCUCUCUUAAGUUCUUCCAACUGGGCUUCCGAUGCCAUCAUUCUACUAAGCCUAUUCCCUUCGAGGUUACUAAUGAUGUCCACAUGGCUACAUCCAAUGGCAAAUUCCUGGGCUUAUCAACUGACUCCUCCUCUGACCCAUUGGCAACUUCCUCCUCUUUGACACUCUUUCUACCCUUGACUUCCAGAACACUCCAGGCUUUCUGCCUACUUUAACUGGCUACUAUUUCUCCGUCUCUUUUGCAGGUUUCUUCUCCCCUUUGGGACACAACAGUUCAGUGUUCUGAACUGGUUACAUUCACCCCUGGAUGAUCCGAUGACUUAGGUCUAUAUGCUGACAAUUCCCAGAUGUCUGUCUAGCCCAGAUCGUCCCACAACUCUAGACUCCUAUAUCUAACACCUCCACCUGAAUUUCCAACAGACAGGUCCAAUUUAGUACAACAAAAGCUGACCCCACAGAGAGUCAUCCCCAUCUAGUUAAUUGGUGACUCCACCCUGCCAGUUGCUUGGUCCAAAAAUGUUGAUGUUAUUCUUGACUCUCCCACCACAUAAUCCAGGAAGAAAUCAUUUUGACUCUGCCUUAUCUUCAAAAAUAUGUCAGAAUCUGAUCACCUCUAACUAUUUGCGCCACCAAUAUGGCUUUCUUUUCUGGACUACUACAGUCAGUUUUCCAGCUGGGGUCCCAGAUGCCACCCCAGCCCCUAAAGUCCAUUAUGAACACAGCAGCCAUAGCAACUCCUUGAAGAUGGGGCUCACACUAUGUCACUCCUGUCCUCUGUUCAAACACUGUUCUCAGUCCUUCAAAAGGUCUUCAAAGCCCUGACCCCACCCCACCACCUCUCUAACUCAUGGAGGUCCAGUGGAUGGCUCUCCUGCUAUUCCUCAUCAUUCCCGGUACUCUCUAGCCUCAGGGCCUCUGCCUGGAAUGUGCUUCUGCCCACAACCCAUAUUGAUAACGCCUUUACCUCCUUCCAGGUUUUGAUCAUCCCUCACCUUCUCAAUGAGACAUGCAUGGCCUACUCUAUUUACAAUCCUGCGACAACACACCUUUUCCACAGCACUGACUUUGGAGCAUACUAAAUACUUAUUGUUAACCAUCUGCCUCCCUCCUGCUAGAAUGUAAGCUCCACAGGGCAUUGGCUUCUGUCUGUUUUCAUCAUUGAUGUUUCUUCUGCACAGAAACAAGGUCUGACACAUAGUUAAUUGUCUCAAGAAUAUUGGAUAAUGAAUGAAUGCGUAAAAACAGCUAUCAAUUUUUGGUCUCUUCUCAUCUUUAUGCAUUCUCUCAUUUUGCGAUAUUUCAUAUAAUGUGAUUUUACAUAUAUGUUUUGAUAUUGUAAUAACAGAACUUUUAUUCUUAUUAAUUUAAUGUGAAGAUUAUAUACAUAUUAUAUUGAUCAACUUUUUCUGAAAAGGGCCAGAUAGCAAAUAUUUUAGGCUCUGAAGGUCAUGUACUAUUUAUCAUGUAUGUGUGUGUGUGUGUGUGUGUGUGUGUGUGUGUGUGUAUGAUGUACUAAAUUGGACCUGUCUGUUGGAAAUUCAUGUGGAGGUGAUAGAGAUAGGAGUCCAGAGUUAUGGGAGGAUCUGGGCUAGACAGAGACAUUUAAGAAUUGUCAGCCUAUAGACCUACAUCAUCAGAUCACCCAGAGAUGAAUGUAAAUAGAAAGGAGGUAAGGACUGAGGACCAAGACUCAGAACACUGAACUGUUGUUUCCCAAAGGGGAGACAGAACCCUCAAAAAAAGACGGAGAAAUAGUAGCCAGUUAAAGCAGGAAGAAAGCCUGGAGUGUUCUGGAAGUCAAGGGCAGAAAGAAUGUCAAAGAGGAGGAAGUUGCCAAUGGGUCAAAGGAGGAGUCAAUUGACAGGACUGGGAAUUUGCCAUUGGAUUUAACUGUGUGGAUGUCAUUGGUGACCUCAAAGAGUGAUGGUGUCAGAAGAGAGAUAUAUACAUCUCCCAAGUCUUUACGUUCUUAGCUUGUAGCUGUUUACAAAUACCUGCAGACUUAUAUAUUAUGAUUAACAUAAUUAACCUCAUCAUUGCACGUAUUAUUUCCAGUAUGUUACUAUUACAAAUUCUAUUCAAUUAAUAAACUUUUGUCACUUGCCUUUACUUCCAGUUUUUCCUAUUUCAUUGUUUUCCUUAUUAUUUUCCCAUUUUCUUUAUUAUUUCUUUUAUUAUUUAAGAAGUCAAAGAACUAUUCCCAUAACAUGGCAUAAAUUUAUUAUUUGACCUUUUAAAAUUGUUCUACUAUUAAUAUUUUAAUUCUAAAACAAUACAUGCUCAUUAUAGAGAAUUUGGAAAACAAAAAUUUAAAGAAGAAAAUAUAAAUCACUAGUAGAUACAAUACUCAGGAGUAGCCAUUAUUUUGUGGGCUUUUUCCAGUGAUUUUUUUUUCUAAGCACAUGUAUAUGUUCUUUAAAAAUAACAAAAUUAGGAUAAUACUAUAUGUAUAUACAAGUAUUCUUCUUGAAAUUCUUUUCUUAGUCAUGAAAGCAUUUUCUAAUAUCAUUAGAAAACAUGUUUUUUUCAAUAGUACCAUUUAGAUGGCUACAUAAUGUAACAUUAACAUUAUAUAACAAUUUAUUGCAAUGCUUUUCUGGAGUUUCUGACUAUUUUUAGGUUGGAUUCCUGAAGAAGAAUUGUGCUUGUUUAAGUCUCUUUUUUACAAAUGCUCUUCUAGAGAGGAUGGACCAAUACUCGGUCGUUUGAGCAAUAUGAGGUGGGGCUGUUUCUCUGUGCAUCCCUCACCGUCAAACUAGGGACAGUGACAAUUCAAUCACUCAGUCACUUCUCAACAUCCUGACCUUGCUGGAUACCUGCUAUGUCUUCUCUGAUCUUUUACCUGUAGCGCAGCUUUUAAGAGCCCAUGUUGUAGAAUUACACAAACAUAGGUUUAAAUCUUGAUUCGGCUGCUUAGUAGUUAGUCUGACCUCGGCCAAGUAUUUACAGUACUCCAUUUCCUCACUUCUUAAAUGUGGAUGUGAUAUCUACUUCAUGAGCUGCUGUGAGGAUUAAAUGACACAAUACAAGUAAAGUGCUCAAAACAGUAGUUCCCCUAGAAAGUUAGCUUGCCUUAGAUCUAACUCCUUCUAUGAAUUGUCUCUCUCUCCCUCUCUUUCUCUCUCUCUCUCUCUCACACACACACACACACACACACAGACUCACACACUUGUUUUCUUUUUUUGAGACAGGAUCUCACUUUGUCACCCAGGCCGGAGUGCAGUGAUGCAGUCAUGGCUCACUGUGGCCUUAACCUCCCAGGCUCAAGCGAUCCUCUCACCUCAGCCUCCUGAGUGGCUGAGACCAUGGGUCCGCGCCACCAUGCCUGGCUAUUUUUUGUAGAGACAGGGUCUUGGCAUGUUGCCCAGGCUGGUCUCAAAUUCCUGGGCUCAAGAGAUUUGCUUGUCUCAGCCUCCCAAUGUGCUGUGAUUACAGGCAUGAACCACCACACCCGGCCCACUUUUUAAAAAAAUGUCAGACUUCUUUUAUGACUUUUCUGGGCUCUUGAAAUUUUCAGUUAAAAAUUGUUUUGUUACUUCCAGAGAAAAACGUUUCCUUUUGCCAUUAGUCUUCGGGUUUACCUGGUUGACCCUUGAUGACAAUCAGAAAUUUAUUUAAGAUAAUUUUAUUGGUAGUUUUGAUUUGUAAAGGAGAACUUCAGAGUUGCUGCUCACAUGGGCCCUGCCCAGUGGUCUGCUACUUGGCAGGGCAGCCAAAGCAUUUACACCUCCUGCAAAGCUUCAACCCCUUCCAGAGGAGCCGAUGUCUAAGCUGAGAGGCAACUAGCGAGGUAGACAGGACUGAGAAGGCCAUUCCCAAAGAGAGAGGAGGCAAACCAGAGGGAGAUGGGGGAAGGUUGCAGCCAAGCUGCUGGGAGCUACAGCCCUGCCAAUCUGCUAACCCGAAACUCCCAAGCGGGAGUCAUGAGGACUAUAGUGGGCAAUUAGAACUCACAUCAUCACAUAGCUCUGGUAGAGCACUAACUUCUGCCCAUCUCCCUUUCUUUUUAUUGA
Molecule: long non-coding RNA, 5671 nt
Filed under: Homo sapiens (human)
Lineage: Eukaryota; Metazoa; Chordata; Mammalia; Primates; Hominidae
Description: non-protein coding lnc-WRNIP1-29:1
Source: RNAcentral